RNAcentral lists this long non-coding RNA (423 nucleotides) under Nicotiana benthamiana. RNAcentral's name for it is "long non-coding RNA (NBEN_LNC034675)". The record is from RNAcentral. Lineage: Eukaryota; Viridiplantae; Streptophyta; Magnoliopsida; Solanales; Solanaceae.
GCAUUUUUAUCUGAAUUAGCUUCAUCAUGUCCAAUUGCUUCAACCUUUGGAACAAAUUGGCAUAUGAUACUCCGAUAGGGGUGAAAGCCUUUUCUUUUUUUAGUGGCGUCUCAUUCUUAAAUGCUUCCCGGGCAGGAAACCUGAUCCAGGAGGUUUUCGGUAUGCUCGUAUGGAUGGGUGGGCAUUCUGUGGAGCUCGAUAUGGGGAAAGUGAUGUACGAUUUUGGGAGUUCUAUGGAGAGAAGCAGCAUUAGGGAGGAUCAUCUGGUAUGCAAGGAUAUCGACGAGGACAAUGUCGAGGCUGGAAAUGUUGAUCAUCUUUUCUAUUUCUCUUUAUUUCGCUGAAGCUUACUUGGAUGUUCUGAAUGUCUUUCGAACCACUCAUGGUUUCGCCUAACUUGAUUCCCUCUUCUACUUGCUCCCC